GGGUUGUGAGGUUAAGCGACUAAGCGUACACGGUGGAUGCCCUGGCAGUCAGAGGCGAUGAAGGACGUGCUAAUCUGCGAUAAGCGUCGGUAAGGUGAUAUGAACCGUUAUAACCGGCGAUUUCCGAAUGGGGAAACCCAGUGUGAUUCGUCACACUAUCAUUAACUGAAUCCAUAGGUUAAUGAGGCGAACCGGGGGAACUGAAACAUCUAAGUACCCCGAGGAAAAGAAAUCAACCGAGAUUCCCCCAGUAGCGGCGAGCGAACGGGGAGGAGCCCAGAGCCUGAAUCAGUGUGUGUGUUAGUGGAAGCGUCUGGAAAGGCGCGCGAUACAGGGUGACAGCCCCGUACACAAAAAUGCACAUGCUGUGAGCUCGAUGAGUAGGGCGGGACACGUGGUAUCCUGUCUGAAUAUGGGGGGACCAUCCUCCAAGGCUAAAUACUCCUGACUGACCGAUAGUGAACCAGUACCGUGAGGGAAAGGCGAAAAGAACCCCGGCGAGGGGAGUGAAAAAGAACCUGAAACCGUGUACGUACAAGCAGUGGGAGCACAGAGCAAUCUGUGUGACUGCGUACCUUUUGUAUAAUGGGUCAGCGACUUAUAUUCUGUAGCAAGGUUAACCGAAUAGGGGAGCCGAAGGGAAACCGAGUCUUAACUGGGCGUUAAGUUGCAGGGUAUAGACCCGAAACCCGGUGAUCUAGCCAUGGGCAGGUUGAAGGUUGGGUAACACUAACUGGAGGACCGAACCGACUAAUGUUGAAAAAUUAGCGGAUGACUUGUGGCUGGGGGUGAAAGGCCAAUCAAACCGGGAGAUAGCUGGUUCUCCCCGAAAGCUAUUUAGGUAGCGCCUCGUGAAUUCAUCUCCGGGGGUAGAGCACUGUUUCGGCAAGGGGUCAUCCCGACUUACCAACCCGAUGCAAACUGCGAAUACCGGAGAAUGUUAUCACGGGAGACACACGGCGGGUGCUAACGUCCGUCGUGAAGAGGGAAACAACCCAGACCGCCAGCUAAGGUCCCAAAGUCAUGGUUAAGUGGGAAACGAUGUGGGAAGGCCCAGACAGCCAGGAUGUUGGCUUAGAAGCAGCCAUCAUUUAAAGAAAGCGUAAUAGCUCACUGGUCGAGUCGGCCUGCGCGGAAGAUGUAACGGGGCUAAACCAUGCACCGAAGCUGCGGCAGCGACACUGUGUGUUGUUGGGUAGGGGAGCGUUCUGUAAGCCUGUGAAGGUGUGCUGUGAGGCAUGCUGGAGGUAUCAGAAGUGCGAAUGCUGACAUAAGUAACGAUAAAGCGGGUGAAAAGCCCGCUCGCCGGAAGACCAAGGGUUCCUGUCCAACGUUAAUCGGGGCAGGGUGAGUCGACCCCUAAGGCGAGGCCGAAAGGCGUAGUCGAUGGGAAACAGGUUAAUAUUCCUGUACUUGGUGUUACUGCGAAGGGGGGACGGAGAAGGCUAUGUUGGCCGGGCGACGGUUGUCCCGGUUUAAGCGUGUAGGCUGGUUUUCCAGGCAAAUCCGGAAAAUCAAGGCUGAGGCGUGAUGACGAGGCACUACGGUGCUGAAGCAACAAAUGCCCUGCUUCCAGGAAAAGCCUCUAAGCAUCAGGUAACAUCAAAUCGUACCCCAAACCGACACAGGUGGUCAGGUAGAGAAUACCAAGGCGCUUGAGAGAACUCGGGUGAAGGAACUAGGCAAAAUGGUGCCGUAACUUCGGGAGAAGGCACGCUGAUAUGUAGGUGAAGUCCCUCGCGGAUGGAGCUGAAAUCAGUCGAAGAUACCAGCUGGCUGCAACUGUUUAUUAAAAACACAGCACUGUGCAAACACGAAAGUGGACGUAUACGGUGUGACGCCUGCCCGGUGCCGGAAGGUUAAUUGAUGGGGUCAGCGCAAGCGAAGCUCUUGAUCGAAGCCCCGGUAAACGGCGGCCGUAACUAUAACGGUCCUAAGGUAGCGAAAUUCCUUGUCGGGUAAGUUCCGACCUGCACGAAUGGCGUAAUGAUGGCCAGGCUGUCUCCACCCGAGACUCAGUGAAAUUGAACUCGCUGUGAAGAUGCAGUGUACCCGCGGCAAGACGGAAAGACCCCGUGAACCUUUACUAUAGCUUGACACUGAACAUUGAGCCUUGAUGUGUAGGAUAGGUGGGAGGCUUUGAAGUGUGGACGCCAGUCUGCAUGGAGCCGACCUUGAAAUACCACCCUUUAAUGUUUGAUGUUCUAACGUGGACCCGUGAUCCGGGUUGCGGACAGUGUCUGGUGGGUAGUUUGACUGGGGCGGUCUCCUCCUAAAGAGUAACGGAGGAGCACGAAGGUUGGCUAAUCCUGGUCGGACAUCAGGAGGUUAGUGCAAUGGCAUAAGCCAGCUUGACUGCGAGCGUGACGGCGCGAGCAGGUGCGAAAGCAGGUCAUAGUGAUCCGGUGGUUCUGAAUGGAAGGGCCAUCGCUCAACGGAUAAAAGGUACUCCGGGGAUAACAGGCUGAUACCGCCCAAGAGUUCAUAUCGACGGCGGUGUUUGGCACCUCGAUGUCGGCUCAUCACAUCCUGGGGCUGAAGUAGGUCCCAAGGGUAUGGCUGUUCGCCAUUUAAAGUGGUACGCGAGCUGGGUUUAGAACGUCGUGAGACAGUUCGGUCCCUAUCUGCCGUGGGCGCUGGAGAACUGAGGGGGCUGCUCCUAGUACGAGAGGACCGGAGUGGACGCAUCACUGGUGUUCGGGUUGUCAUGCCAAUGGCACUGCCCGGUAGCUAAAUGCGGAAGAGAUAAGUGCUGAAAGCAUCUAAGCACGAAACUUGCCCCGAGAUGAGUUCUCCCUGACCCUUUAAGGGUCCUGAAGGAACGUUGAAGACGACGACGUUGAUAGGCCGGGUGUGUAAGCGCAGCGAUGCGUUGAGCUAACCGGUACUAAUGAACCGUGAGGCUUAACCUUACAACGCCGAAGGUGUUU
This 2930-nucleotide ribosomal RNA is filed under the name Escherichia coli. Its description in RNAcentral is "23S ribosomal RNA". It matches the Rfam family "Bacterial large subunit ribosomal RNA". The record is from RNAcentral. Lineage: Bacteria; Pseudomonadati; Pseudomonadota; Gammaproteobacteria; Enterobacterales; Enterobacteriaceae.